This is a small nucleolar RNA of Brassica oleracea var. oleracea, 93 nucleotides long. It matches the Rfam family "small nucleolar RNA snoR128". The record is from Rfam. Lineage: Eukaryota; Viridiplantae; Streptophyta; Magnoliopsida; Brassicales; Brassicaceae.
UUGCGAUGAUGAGAAUUUUAUGAAUAAAUUGAAAGUGGAAACGCUUAAUGAACGGUCGACAAAAAUGUCGAACCUGAGCGGUUAGCUGAGCAA